RNAcentral lists this transfer RNA (84 nucleotides) under Plenodomus lingam JN3. Its description in RNAcentral is "tRNA-Gln for anticodon CUG". It matches the Rfam family "tRNA". Rfam says of the family: Transfer RNA (tRNA) molecules are approximately 80 nucleotides in length. Their secondary structure includes four short double-helical elements and three loops (D, anti-codon, and T loops). The record is from Rfam by way of RNAcentral. Lineage: Eukaryota; Fungi; Ascomycota; Dothideomycetes; Pleosporales; Leptosphaeriaceae.
GGUUUUGUAGUGUAGCGGUUAUCACUCCAGAUUCUGAUUAGUCAGAGCCUUCUGGUAACCCCGGUUCGAGUCCGGGCAAGACCU